This 445-nucleotide ribosomal RNA is filed under the name uncultured bacterium. RNAcentral's name for it is "SSU rRNA". It matches the Rfam family "Bacterial small subunit ribosomal RNA", at positions 26 to 518 of the family's 1533-position model. The record is from RNAcentral.
AGAGCGAACGCUGGCGGCAGGCCUAACACAUGCAAGUCGAGCGCCCGUAGCAAUACGGGAGCGGCAGACGGGAGAGUAACACGUGGGAACGCGCCCUUCGGUUCGGAAUAACUCAGGGAAACUUGAGCUAAUACCGGAUACGCCCUUACGGGGAAAGAUUUAUUGCCGAAGGAACGGCCCGCGUCCGAUUAGCUUGUUGGUGAGGUAAUGGCUCACCAAGGCGACGAUCGGUAGCUGGUCUGAGAGGAUGACCAGCCUCACUGGGACUGAGACACGGCCCAGACUCCUACGGGAGGCAGCAGUGGGGAAUAUUGGACAAUGGGCGCAAGCCUGAUCCAGCCAUGCCGCGUGGAUGAUGAAGGCCCUAGGGUUGUAAAGUCCUUUUAACGGGAAGAUAAUGACGGUACCGUAGAAUAAGCCCGGCUAACUUCGUGCCAGCAGCCGC